UACGGAGGACCCAAGCGUUAUCCGGAUUCAUUGGGUUUAAAGGGUGCGUAGGCGGGCCUAUAAGUCAGUGGUGAAAGCCCUUCGCUCAACGAAGGAAUUGCCAUUGAUACUGUAGGUCUUGAGUACAGCUGAGGUUGGCGGAAUGUGUCAUGUAGCGGUGAAAUGCUUAGAUAUGACCCAGAACACCGAUUGCGAAGGCAGCUAGCUAAACUGUAACUGACGCUGAGGCACGAAAGCGUGGGUAGCAAACAGG
This 253-nucleotide ribosomal RNA is filed under the name uncultured bacterium. RNAcentral's name for it is "partial 16S ribosomal RNA". It matches the Rfam family "Bacterial small subunit ribosomal RNA", at positions 524 to 776 of the family's 1533-position model. The record is from RNAcentral.